CCGGACCGAGAGAGGCUGGGCGGAACGAGCGAGCCUCUCUAAGGUGCUCCAGCCCAGGUGGGCCCAGGUUGGCGCCGCCCGAGACGGGAGCAGCUUUGCCAGACGCUUUCAAACACUGUGCCAGGGAAGAUGUAGAGGAACGCAAGACCCCAGGAACCUAAAUACGAUUGCAGUCUUAAAUUAAAGAGAUGUCAUACAGGGAUGUUUUGUUACCAGGCUAAGUAGCACCAUCAUGAUUGGGAGAAUGAAGUUGGCCGGUUGCCACGCCAGUCCUGGUUGGGGUGACGUUUCUUCCUUGAUUAGAACACUGCUUCUUCCUGGAUUGUUUAUCUGGUGCUGUUUCCUCCUCACCUGGGUGUUGGCUGGGAGGGAGAAUGUGUUUAUGAGUGGUCUGUUUCUCUCCCUGACUUUUGGUCGCAUCUUUUAAAUGGCAGGUAGAUGGGGCUUUAUAUCUUCUAUCCAUGUGGUUUUGACCAUGACAAGCCGUGGAAUGUGCUCAGAAAAAUGGGAAUCCCAGAACAUCUCAUUGUCCUUACCUAAAAGCUAUAUACCGGUCGGGAAGCCGCAGUGUAGACAGAAGAUGGCGAAACAGACUGGCUCCAGGUUGCCAGAGAGACAAGGCUGUAUACACUCCCCUUAUUUAUUCAGUCUAUAUGCU
Molecule: non-coding RNA, 658 nt
Organism: Python bivittatus (Burmese python)
Lineage: Eukaryota; Metazoa; Chordata; Lepidosauria; Squamata; Pythonidae
Source: RefSeq, a predicted model, not a curated record